UCGAGGAUCUUCCGCAAUGGGCGCAAGCCUGACGGAGCGACGCCGCGUGUGGGAUGAAGGCCUUCGGGUUGUAAACCACUGUCACUCGUUAAGAAAGGGUUGGGGGUUAACAGCCUCCAGCACUGACGAAGGCGAGAGAGGAAGCCACGGCUAACUUCGUGCCAGCAGCCGCGGUAAGACGAAGGUGGCGAGCGUUGUUCGGAAUCACUGGGCAUAAAGCGCUCGUAGGCGGCAAUGUAAGUCGGAUGUGAAAUCCCUCGGCCUAACCGAGGAACUGCGUCCGAUACUGCGUAGCUUGGGGACCAAAGGGGUGCAUGGAAUUUCCGGUGGAGCGGUGAAAUGCGUUGAUAUCGGAAGGAACGUCGGCGGCGAAAGCGAUGCACUGGUUGGUUACCGACGCUGAGGAGCGAAAGCCAGGGGAGCAAACGGGAUUAGAUACCCGGGUAGUCC
Molecule: ribosomal RNA, 450 nt
Filed under: uncultured bacterium
Lineage: Bacteria
Description: bacterial SSU rRNA
Rfam family: Bacterial small subunit ribosomal RNA
Source: RNAcentral